This 217-nucleotide ribosomal RNA is filed under the name uncultured fungus. RNAcentral's name for it is "partial small subunit ribosomal RNA". The stretch from base 90 to 217 matches the Rfam family "Eukaryotic small subunit ribosomal RNA", at positions 733 to 864 of the family's 1831-position model. The record is from RNAcentral. Lineage: Eukaryota; Fungi.
GGUAUUUAUUGCUAGCUGGUCUCAAUGGCCAUGUUAGUUAAUAGAUCCUCAGCAAGUUGGAUUCGAUUAAUAAUGAUCUUUAUCGAUUGUUAUUAGUUGCCAACACGUUUACUUUGAGAAAAUUAGAGUGCUAAAAGCAGGCUCACGCCUAUAUAUAUUGCAUGGAAUAAUGAAAUAAGAUCUCGAUUUUAUUUCGUUGGUUUUAGAAAUUGAGAUA